Long non-coding RNA from Gordionus sp. m RMFG-2023, 446 nucleotides. RefSeq lists it as uncharacterized. The transcript is spliced from 3 exons. NCBI's taxonomy places the organism in Eukaryota, Metazoa, Nematomorpha, Gordioida, Chordodea, Parachordodidae. The record is from RefSeq and is a predicted model, not a curated record.
AGCCCCACAAAUUAUUUUGUCAUCCCCUCAAACUUCAAAUUUUGAUGCCAUAGACCAUCAAAAUAUUAUUUCAAAUCAAGCCCCUCAAAUUACAGAUUUGUCAUCCCCUCAAACUUCUAGUUCUGGCCAUAUAUUAGCAGAUAACCUUAAAAAUUAUCUUAAAUACAUACAACUUGAAAUAAAACAAACACAGAAGAAGAAGGACUAUAUAUGCUACCAAGGGCAUGAAUAUUUGACCCAUACAAGUGGGAAAAAGGCUGUUUACCUUACUUGUCGCAAAAGAUGUGGUGGUAGAGCCAAAUUAAUUAUUGGCCUUGAUUUAAUUAUCACUACUCAACAUUCUUUAGACUGUCAAAACUUAGUAGCUGCUCAAACUUCUAAUGCUAAUCAUGGUAAUGAUUUUUAUAAUAUUAUUUUACCAUUGAUUAAUGUUUUAACAUUAGUCC